GAUGAACGCUGGCGGCGUGCCUAAUACAUGCAAGUCGAGCGAACGGACGAGAAGCUUGCUUCUCUGAUGUUAGCGGCGGACGGGUGAGUAACACGUGGAUGACCUACCUAUAAGACUGGGAUCACUUCGGGAAACCGGAGCUAAUACCGGAUAAUAUUUUGAACCGCAUGGUUCAAAAGUGAAAGACGGUGUUGCUGUCACUUAUAGCUGGAUCCGCGCUGCAUUAGCUAGUUGGUAAGGUCACGGCUUACCAAGGCAACGAUGCAUAGCCGACCUGAGAGGGUGAUCGGCGGCACGGGAGCUGAGACGCGGACCAGAGGCCUGCGGGAGGCAGCAGUAGGGAAUCUGCGGCAAUAGGCGAAAGCCUGACGGAGCAACGCCGCGUGAGUGAUGAAGGUCUUCGGAUCGUAAAGCUCUGUUAUUAGGGAAGAACAUAUGUGUAAGUAAAUGUGCAGAGCGUGACGGUACCGAAUCAGAAAGCCACGGCUAACUACGUG
Molecule: ribosomal RNA, 497 nt
Filed under: uncultured bacterium
Lineage: Bacteria
Description: partial 16S ribosomal RNA
Rfam family: Bacterial small subunit ribosomal RNA
Source: RNAcentral